CUCAGUUCGGAUUGGAGUCUGCAACCCGACUCCAUGAAGCUGGAUUCGCUAGUAAUCGCGCAUCAGCCACGGCGCGGUGAAUACGUUCCCGGGCCUUGUACACACCGCCCGUCAAGCCAUGGAAGCCGGGGGGUACCUGAAGUGCGUGACCGCAAGGAGCGUCCUAGGGUAAAACCGGUGACUGGGGCUAAGUCGUAACAAGGUAUC
RNAcentral lists this ribosomal RNA (207 nucleotides) under uncultured bacterium. RNAcentral's name for it is "partial 16S ribosomal RNA". It matches the Rfam family "Bacterial small subunit ribosomal RNA", at positions 1287 to 1500 of the family's 1533-position model. The record is from RNAcentral.